RNAcentral lists this ribosomal RNA (494 nucleotides) under uncultured bacterium. Its description in RNAcentral is "partial 16S ribosomal RNA". It matches the Rfam family "Bacterial small subunit ribosomal RNA", at positions 28 to 504 of the family's 1533-position model. The record is from RNAcentral.
GAUGAACGCUGGCGGCGUGCCUAAUACAUGCAAGUCGAGCGAACGGACGAGAAGCUUGCUUCUCUGAUGUUAGCGGCGGACGGGUGGGUAACACGUGGAUAACCUACCUAUAAGACUGGGAUAACUUCGGGAAACCGGAGCUAAUACCGGAUGAUAUUUUGAACCACAUGGUUCAAAGGUGAAAGACGGUCUUGCUGUCACUUAUAGAUGGAUCCGCGCUGCAUUAGCUAGUUGGUAAGGUAACGGCUUACCAAGGCAACGAUGCAUAGCCGACCUGAGAGGGUGAUCGGCCACACUGGAACUGAGACACGGUCCAGACUCCGACGGGAGGCAGCAGUAGGGAAUCUUCCGCAAUGGGCGAAAGCCUGACGGAGCAACGCCGCGUGAGUGAUGAAGGUCUUCGGAUCGUAAAACUCUGUUAUUAGGGAAGAACAUAUGCGUAAGUAACUGUGCACAUCUUGACGGUACCUAAUCAGAAAGCCACGGCUAACUAC